RNAcentral lists this transfer RNA (63 nucleotides) under Pseudopedinella elastica. Lineage: Eukaryota; Dictyochophyceae; Pedinellales. The record is from RNAcentral.
AGUUAGUCUAAUGGUUUAGAACUAGGCAUGCUAUGGACGAGGUCUGGGUUCGAUUCCCGUCGG